CAGCAGUCAAGAAUAUUAGUCAAUGCUCGCCAGAGUGAACUAGCUAACUGAAAUCAUAACAUCACUGAGUGGUAAUAUGAUAACGUAAGGGAAAAAAAAUGAUAUUACCUUACUAUUAGUGUUGUCCAAAUCUGGUGCCAGAAGACUCGGUAAUGCCAGAAACGCAAACGUUAGUCGUCCUAAACAGGCGUAAAGGGUAUGUAGGCAGCUUUGAAAGUUUCAUUUAUAAAAAGCUCUAAUCGUCCUCAUUAACUGAGGUCAUAGAAUAAAUAAACGAUUAAAAGCUAGGAUCAUAAAGAAGAUAAGCCAAAUAAUACUUAGAGUAGGAGUGAUAUCUGCAAAUACUAAGGGGAAUACUAACGGUGUAAACUUUUAUCUAUUAAUGAUUGACGCUGAGAAACGAAGGUGAGAACAGGAAAUAGGAUUAGAGACCCAGAUACCUCUCACUGUAAACGAUGAAUGGUGGUUGUUAGUAAUAACAAAACUAGCAGCGAUGUUAACACGCUAACCAUUCCGCCUUGCGAGUACGGUUGCAAAACUGAAACCAAAAAAAUUAGUCGGUCUCGAAGCAAACGAAGUGAAGCAUGUUAUUUAAUUC
This 598-nucleotide ribosomal RNA is filed under the name Clitopilus geminus. RNAcentral describes it as "SSU rRNA". It matches the Rfam family "Bacterial small subunit ribosomal RNA", at positions 349 to 952 of the family's 1533-position model. The record is from RNAcentral. Lineage: Eukaryota; Fungi; Basidiomycota; Agaricomycetes; Agaricales; Entolomataceae.